GACGAACGCUGGCGGCGUGCCUAAUACAUGCAAGUAGAACGCUGAAGGAGGAGCUUGCUUCUCUGGAUGAGUUGCGAACGGGUGAGUAACGCGUAGGUAACCUGCCUGGUAGCGGGGGAUAACUAUUGGAAACGAUAGCUAAUACCGCAUAAUAGUAGAUGUCGCAUGACAUUUGCUUAAAAGGUGCACUUGCAUCACUACCAGAUGGACCUGCGUUGUAUUAGCUAGUUGGUGAGGUAACGGCUCACCAAGGCAACGAUACAUAGCCGACCUGAGAGGGUGAUCGGCCACACUGGGACUGAGACACGGCCCAGACUCCUACGGGAGGCAGCAGUAGGGAAUCUUCGGCAAUGGACGGAAGUCUGACCGAGCAACGCCGCGUGAGUGAAGAAGGUUUUCGGAUCGUAAAGCUCUGUUGUAAGAGAAGAACGAGUGUGAGAGUGGAAAGUUCACACUGUGACGGUAUCUUACCAGAAAGGGACGGCUAACUACGUG
Molecule: ribosomal RNA, 495 nt
Filed under: uncultured bacterium
Lineage: Bacteria
Description: partial 16S ribosomal RNA
Rfam family: Bacterial small subunit ribosomal RNA
Source: RNAcentral